Molecule: long non-coding RNA, 1305 nt
Organism: Carassius auratus (goldfish)
Lineage: Eukaryota; Metazoa; Chordata; Actinopteri; Cypriniformes; Cyprinidae
Exons: 3
Source: RefSeq, a predicted model, not a curated record
AGACAAUGCAGCACAACCACAGCCACAAGCUAAAACAGACUGGAAAGGAGAGUUUGUUCAUGAUGACAAACUGAAAAUAAAAUGGUGUAAACCUACUGAAUUGAUCCCAGGAAGAAAUGAAUCUGAACUACAAAACCUGACACUCAGCUAUGUCAGUCUCUCACAGAUCCAAGGUUUUAUUUUGCUUCUGGUGUACAGCAUUUUGGUUAUUAUUGUGGUCUGUUCUGCCUGCUGGUGGUUCACGAAAGAGGGAGACGAACUGCCUCAGGAAGAAGAUCGUCUUUAACAGUAAAAUUACACUUUGUCAAACUUCAUAAAAUUUAGAUUACACGGACUGAGGUUUAAGGAAGAAGAAUUAGUCAACAUCCCCCUAUUGUAACUGAGAAUCAUUCACCUUAUCUAAAAUUUAAAAAGGGAUAUAGAUCAUCCUAGAAUGUUUAAAGGGAUAAUUCACCCAAAAAUGACAACUUCUGUUAUUUAAUCAUCCUCAAGUCAUUCCAAACCUUGUGUAUUUUAAGUGAAUUGUUCACAUCAUUUAUUUAUUUAUUUUUCUUGAGAAAACCUGCAGUCUUUUUUUUUUUUAUAACCAGCAGUCAUACAGUAUACUGCUUUGGUGUUUAGAAAUAGUUAAAUUCUGAAACUUGUUUCCAACACAACUUUAUUAAAAAAGAAGAAAAUGAUUGAAGAGUACAUUAUGAAUGGAUGGAAGCAUGAAUUUUAUAAAAGCAUUGAUACUUUUUGAAAGCUUGACUGACUGUAACUUUUAGUUAUACUUUCAGUUGAGGUUUUGUCAAACCAAGGUUUGUCUUCACCCUUUUUUAUGAAAACCCUUUAGCGCCUUUGGGGUUCCUAAUCGAAAAUUACCAGCUUUUAAAAAUCGCUUGUUAUGCUGUAUUAUCGAUAAAUAUUGUAUUCAGUAUUGUAUUUUUUUAUCACCUUGUUUUCUUUCACUUGACACAGGUUUUGUAUUUCUUUUUGCAAUGGAUUAAUCUGAGUUUAUGCACCUCAGUUUUUGAGUAAAUAAAUAAAUACCUUAUUAUGAUUUUUGUCAAUAUUAAAAAACAUUUGAAAUCACACCUGUGUUUCUAGCUUAUAAAUAUCUCAUUAUGCUAUAUUAUCACCAAGCAUUGGAUUCAAUCUUGUUGUCAGCUUGUUUUCUUUCAGGUAGGAGAGGUUAUGUUUCUUUGUUUUUUAUUUUCACACUUGUAGCUUUGUUGUGCUGCAUUGUCUUUGUAUCAUUCUGCUGCUUCAUCAUCCUCAAAUUUGGAACAUAACUUUAGAUUUAUAGCUUUGAUUUUCUUGCAG